CUGGUUGGCUUGGUGUGAACAUAAUUGUAUAAACUUUUCAAAGAGCACGGUCUUGUUUUGUUAAAUUGAGCUGUGUUAACACUGACAGCUUUUCAUUUUUUUUUGCUCAUUUCUCUCUCGAGGUGAGAUGUUGUUUCAUCGCCCUGACCUGUAACGAUGUUAAUGCAAUCAUGACUAAUUCUGACAGGCACUCAAAAUGGUUUGGUGUUACAAGUGAAAUUUAGUUUUGCUUUCAUGGUCGUGUCCCCACAGAGCGGAGCUACUGAAACGGGCAAGCCUGUUGAUUUGAUUGACGCAAGAGAAACAACAGCAAAAUCAGGGGAGGAAUUAAAUUGGCUGAAAUUGUUAAUUGUGUGUGUGUGUGUGUGUGUGUGUGUGUGUGUGUGUGUGUGUGUGUGUGUGUGUGUGUGUGUGUGUGUGUGUGUGUGUGUGUGUGUGUGCACGCAUAAUAGUAAAUGUGCAAAUGUGAGGGUUUGUAUUAAGGCUCAUUCUCUGUGGGUACAGUAACUGUCUGUUUUCUUCUAGAAGGGCCUUUGAGCAGCAUCUCCUCAGUUUUAAAUGAGAUUCAUUAUCAUGCCAAAAUGUCACGCCUGUUUGCUUCAAACUAUGCAACAGAAUUCUCCUAUUAGAAUAUGGUUGAUUUAUUUCCUCAAUUCUCCUCUCAACACACUAUCUCCUUCUCUCGCUCACUCUCUCUUUCUCUGUCUAUGCGUGCUUGUCUAUGUCUCAAUGGAUCCAGUUGUUUCCCAUAUUUGAGUUCUUUCUACUAACAGAAACAGAAGUGUAUAAUGUUUGUAUGUAUGUGUGUACACGAUCUGCAAGCACCCUGAGUUGUUCUUUACUCUGUUGUAAUAAUGAUCAUGUUGAAUGCCUUGGUCUUUAUGUCCUGUAGUUUGAAUUUAACAGAACAAAAAAUGAUAAUCAAGCAAGAAAGUUAUUAUAAAUAUAUAUAUAUAAAUAUAUACAAAUCUAUAUACAUAAAAUAAAGCCAUUGGGAUUUGAAAUA
This 1006-nucleotide long non-coding RNA is filed under the name Salmo salar (Atlantic salmon). RNAcentral describes it as "lncRNA (ENSSSAG00000087960.1)". The record is from RNAcentral. Lineage: Eukaryota; Metazoa; Chordata; Actinopteri; Salmoniformes; Salmonidae.